Pocillopora damicornis (cauliflower coral) is the source of this 1475-nucleotide long non-coding RNA. RefSeq lists it as uncharacterized. NCBI's taxonomy places the organism in Eukaryota, Metazoa, Cnidaria, Anthozoa, Scleractinia, Pocilloporidae. The record is from RefSeq and is a predicted model, not a curated record.
AUGUAAUGUAUGUGAGCAAAAUUCAGCAUGGCGGAUGUGUGUACAUGGGAGAGACCCUUGCUGUCGAAAAUUUGAGUAAAAUCGGUCAAAUUGUGCCUGUAUUCGACGAAAACACGUUGCUAUGGUAGAGUUCAACAAGCACACCCUAUGAAAUCGACUGAAAACUUUGAUUUCAAUUUGCAAAAGGCCCGAAUUUUUUCCAGCAAAGCAAGAAUCACAAGAGAAGACUUCAAACCUUAAUGAACAACUGACAGAGGUUUGGGAGCUUUCCGGACUCGUGGCAAUGUGGUGGUUAACAAGGAUUUGACGUAAUCUCGUGUCCUUUUUCUUCACAUGGUCAAAAUGCUGGGACUGGGUGUUGAAGGAGUGUUGAAGGAGUGUAUUCCUUCAAUCCUUUGUUCACCAUGGAAUCCAUUGUUGAAGAAAAGGGCAAACAUGUUCUAGCAUAUGGAGCCUUAGUGUGAUCAUCAUGUCUGUACAAAAUAGGUGACCACGUCAUAACCAUAAAGGUCGUAAAACGGUGGCGCGUAUGAGUAGUGUGAAAAAUACACUGUCGUUACACUGCUACUUCUACGUCAUGGUUAAAAUCACAUCUAGAAAUGAUAAAGUGUUCCUCUAGCGCAUGCAGCCAAUAAAAUUAUUUGUGCAUUAAUUUCUACAAGUUUUUCAAAUCAAGGUACACUCUUUGUCGACCUUACUUUCCAACCCUAUUACAGUCCGGGAUAGGGUUUAAUUAUAUGUUUUUGUUCAAAACAAAAACUACGAAGAAAGAAAAACUGAUUUUCCUUACAGCUCCAUUGCCUAGUUUACUUAAUCAGACCCAACUCGUGCUACCAUAUCAAAGAAAAUUAAAAUAAUUAUAUUAUUUUUCUGAUUAGUUUCUGUAAUGAAAUUAGAACGUAAGAUACGUUAGUUAAGUAGCCAUUAUUAUGAUGUGAUCAUGUGAACACCUGAGAAAAUGUAAUUUCUGACGUUUGAGUGACAUGGCAACAAAUUAGUCAGAAAUUAAUAUUCUGACGGCACGUUGAAGAGGUUCGCAUGGAGUGGCAACAUGGUAGUUUCGGAUUAUUUAAGCGUUUCGCGGGGAAAAUUAAAUCAUUCUACGUCGGUCAGUGUUAGGUUUGACCACUUUCCUUUUUUUUUUUUUAUUUAAUGUAAUUUUGUUUUACAACUCUGUAAAAUAUCACUGCUUUCAUUAAAUUUUCUGUGUGAUUAGUAGUGUAACUAGGUUUAUUUUAGUUACCCUUUCCUCGGGGUAUAGUGCUGCUGCAUUAGAUGAGGAAUACGUUUCCACAUAUUUUUUGGCCUCUUCUAAAGAGCGGUUUUUUAGUGGUUUUUCUUAUCUGGCGUUGCACAGCCUAUUUUUGUAUAACCCUUCAGUUUCAGUGAGUACUUGCAGUACAUUGCAGAUUGUAGUAGGAUGUGUAGACUACAAGACUGGCUGACUCAUCCCAAAUGAACUUUCACAUUGAAUA